Molecule: ribosomal RNA, 253 nt
Filed under: uncultured bacterium
Lineage: Bacteria
Description: partial 16S ribosomal RNA
Rfam family: Bacterial small subunit ribosomal RNA
Source: RNAcentral
UACGGGGGGGGCAAGCGUUGUUCGGAAUUACUGGGCGUAAAGGGCUCGUAGGCGGCCAACUAAGUCAGACGUGAAAUCCCUCGGCUUAACCGGGGAACUGCGUCUGAUACUGGAUGGCUUGAGUGUGGGAGAGGGAUGCGGAAUUCCAGAUGUAGCGGUGAAAUGCGUAGAUAUCUGGAGGAACACCGGUGGCGAAGGCGGCAUCCUGGACCAUUACUGACGCUGAUGAGCGAAAGCCAGGGGAGCAAACGGG